Molecule: unclassified non-coding RNA, 2906 nt
Filed under: Hevea brasiliensis (rubber tree)
Lineage: Eukaryota; Viridiplantae; Streptophyta; Magnoliopsida; Malpighiales; Euphorbiaceae
Source: RNAcentral
UGGAGGACCUUCUCGCCUUAAGGGUGCCUAGCGCUUUUGACAACACUGACUCCAAGUCCAACGCAAGGUCAUGGGCAAACACAUGCAAUGCAACAACUUAACUUGGACCUGCAUAACUCUUGGUUUAUUAAGAUGAAGUCAAAAAUUUUGGGCACUGAAGAAACAGGCCUACAAAAUUAAAGGUAUAGAUAUAAGAAUGCUGAGAAGGACAUAUGAAAAUAUAACCACCAAGCUCAAAAUGAAUUCUUAUAUAGGAAAGGCGAAAGUGGCAUCAAUUAAGGCAAGUUAUAAGGGGAAAAAUAAGUGGGUGUUUGGUUCACCUUUGGAGAGAGACUGAUAGUUGAUAGAGACCCAAAUAGGUGAAACAAGGUGUUUGGUAACAGAGCUGAUAACUGAUAAACAACUGAUAGGAUAACCUUCGGCUACAGUUUGUAUCAGCUCUAUUUUUAAAGUUGUUUCUCAUUAGUUGAUAGCCGAUUUGAUUUAUUUUUUAUUUAGAUUAUAUUAUCCUUUUAAAAUAUUUAUUGAAUAGAUUAUUUAAAAUUAUAAUAAAAUAAUUAUAAUGUUCACUUUAUAUAUAUACUUAAAAACAAUAAUUAUACUUGUUAUAGGAAGUCAAUCCUAUAAUUAUGUAAAUAAUAUUCUUUCUUAAUUAGUUAGCUAAUUAGUUAGCAUAAUUAGUGGGAUAUCACCCCAAUUAGAAUACUUAAUUAUAGGAUCCUUUGUAUAUAAAUACCUUGUAUCUCAUUCAAUAAAAUAAACAGAAAUAUAUUCACUUCAAUAAUAAAACUUGAAAUGCAGGCAGUUAAAUUUAUACAUUGAAAACAUCUAAUACUAUUUGGUAAAACAGCAUGUAUAAUUAAGUUACUCAGUUUUAGGAUUCUGUUAUAGAUUAUUGAGCAUCAGAAAAUCUAAUCUUAGGUUGUACAUCUUAUUCAUUUUUUUUUCUUUGUUCUUGUGAUUUUGUUUUAAAUAGAUUUACUAGGACCUUUGUUUUGAAAUUUGAUAUUGACUGAUGAAGAUUCUGUCUGUGUAGGUUAUAUAUGAAGAUCUCCCAUCAAACUUAUGUGCAAUUCGAGAUUAUAUUGAGAGAAGGGAAGAUACAAACUCAGUAGAAAUGAAUGAGCCCACGCAAUAUUCCAAGGAACUAGAUCCAUCUAAUGGUAUGGGAGAUACUGAGUAUAGCAAGAAAAUUGUGAAGGUUAUUGAUUUGAAUAACCCAAAUUCACAAAGACAAAGACCUAGGGUUCCUGGCCUGCAGAGGAAUAUUGAAGUUCUGAAGUCUGAGCUCCUGAAGUUUAUAUCAGAACAUGGACAAGAAGGAUUUAUGCCCAUGAGAAAGCAGCUUCGUCUGCAUGGUAGGGUAGAUAUUGAGAAGGCUAUAACACGCAUGGGUGGAUUUAGAAGGAUUGCAACGUUGAUGAAUCUUUCUCUUGCAUACAAGCGCCGGAAACCAAAGGGAUACUGGGAUAAUCUCGAGAAUUUGCAGGAAGAGGUAGCAUCUUAACUUUAAUUGAGCUGUUAGUUGUCAAUGUUUACUGAUCUUCUGUAGCUUUGACAAAUUUUAAUAUGCUAAUAUUAUAUUUUAGGUGCAUAAUGAACUUGUGUCUUGGAGACAACAGAAAGUAGAAAAUAAUCUUCCAAAAGAAUUGCCACAGCUAUUCUCUUGGACAAUGAUAAAUAAAAAUUAUAUAUAGAGAGAGAGAAGAAUUGAUAAUUUUCUGAAGUAGUUUGUUCAUUACUAGCAAUAAAUGUUUGCAGGGAUUUAGUGUUUGAAAUAAAAAAUAACAUAGAAAGUGCAUGAGAUUUGGAGCAUGAUGAUUAGGAUUUGCAGAUGUUUGCAAUUAAUGGUUGGUAACUUGCUGUUGGGAUGAUUUCCUUAGUAAAAUUUAUUGCUAAAAAAACCUGUGGCUUGUCAUUUCUCAUUUUACUUAUAUUAAGAAAACAUAGGAUUUUAACCAAAAUUUUUGUAGAAAAAAAAAGCAAUCAAAGUAACUGGUCGAUUCAAAAAGAAUUCAAUCAAUCAUCCCUAUGGGCACAUUUGAUUGAUUUAAGUAUCUCAUUGUGUAUGAUGAUUCUUCGAGUUUAAUUACAGCACUUCAAUGCACUUCUCAUCAAUACAGAUUAAUAGAUUUCAAAGGAGCUGGGGAAUGGACCCUUCAUUUAUGCCAAGCAGAAAAUCCUUUGAGCGGGCUGGUAACUUAAUUAGAAGCUCUUUGGACUGCAGUUUUAGAACUAUAUGGAAUGAUAUUUUCUUUUUCUUAUAUUUUUCUAUAAUUUGUUGUUUACAAAUGUUACAGGGCGUUAUGAUAUUGCGCGAGCAUUGGAGAAAUGGGGGGGACUCCAUGAAGUUUCCCGUCUUCUAGCUCUAAAGGUGAGGCACCCUAAUAGGCAGGCAAAUGUUGUUAAGGAUAAGAAAAAUGAUCAUGUGGCAUUUACUAAUGUGGAAGGAGAAGAUAGCAUUUCAUCAAAACCAUAUGUAUCACAAGAUACACAAAAAUGGCUCAUGAAAUUGAAAGAUUUAGACAUUAACUGGGUUGAACGAGGAUGUUAGUUGAUUGCCCCUCAUAAUCCUUAUCUUACAAUCUCUUUGCCACAGCUUCGUAAUUGCUUUGAUAUAUCAUAUCUUUUCUAUCAGACAACACGUAUUGAUUUUCCCCUCUAAAUUCUUUUCUUUGCAAAAUUCAGUCAUUGUGAUCUUAUGAAAAUUGAAAAUUAAUUGUUACCCAUUUUCCAGAGUGCAAAGUUAUUUGGGUGGUCUAAUUUAUACUAGUCAUGAGCUUUUUUAUUUGUUGUUAUUUUUAUAUUCUGUUCAAUUUUGUAGAGAAAAGAUAAAAAAGGAUAAUUGUUGUGUAAAAUUUUUGUUUUUAAUGAUUUCGUAUAAUCUGAAUGUUUUGGUUAUUAAA